AUGGGGAACCACCGAGACAGGCCAGGACCCCGUACCCCCGACCAGACACCACACCACCGCCCUCUCGCCGCCGCGCCUCCGACCCAAGCCAAGCCACACCGCCCGCCGUCGCAGGGGGCGGCCACUCCGAUGAUGAUGGCGGGGCCGUACCACCAGCCGACCACCCUGGAGGAGGUCCGCACGCUCUGGAUCGGCGACCUCCAGUACUGGGCCGACGAGAACUACCUCUACGGCUGCUUCGCGCACACCGGCGAGGUACAAUCCGUAAAAUUAAUACGCAACAAAUUAUCUGGUCUCCCAGAAGGCUAUGGAUUCAUUGAAUUCAUUUCACACGAAGCUGCUGAGAAAGUUCUACAGGCUUAUAAUGGCGCACAAAUGCCUGGAACUGAGCAUACAUUCAGAUUGAACUGGGCAUCGUUCAGCUCUGGUGAGAAGCGUCCGGAUGCAGGACCUGACCAUUCAAUUUUUGUAGGAGACUUGGCACCUGAUGUCACAGAUUACUUACUACAAGAGACUUUCCGAGUGAACUAUUCAUCUGUUAGGGGGGCCAAGGUUGUCACAGAUCCAAAUACUGGGAGAUCUAAAGGAUAUGGAUUUGUAAAGUUUGCAGAUGAAAAUGAGAAGACCCGUGCAAUGUCAGAAAUGAAUGGUGUGUAUUGCUCAACAAGACCUAUGCGGAUAAGUGCUGCAAUUCCUAAGAAAUCAUCUGGAUCUCAGCUUCAGUAUGGAGCUGCUAAAGCCAUGUACCCCGCAACAGCUUAUGCAAUUCCGCAGGCCCAAACAGUUCUACCAGAUAGUGAUCCUACAAACACUACGAUAUUUAUUGGUAACUUGGACCCAAACGUGACGGAAGAGGAGCUGAGGCAGAUUUGCGUGCAGUUUGGGGAGCUUAUAUAUGUAAAAAUUCCAGUUGGUAAAGGAUGUGGAUUUGUACAAUAUGCAUCUAGGGCAUCAGCUGAAGAGGCUGUGCAGCGUCUUCAUGGCACAGUGAUUGGUCAACAGGUGGUUAGACUUUCAUGGGGCAGAAGUCCUGCCAAUAAGCAGGAUCAAUCAGCAGCCUGGGGUCAGCAGACAGAUCCUAAUCAAUGGAGUGCUUAUUAUAGCUAUGGAUAUGAUCCAUAUGGGUAUCCUCAGGACCCAUCAUAUGCAUAUGGUGCUUAUGCAGGAUAUGCCCAGUAUCCCCAACAGGUUGAGGGAGCAACCGAUAUGGCAUCAGCAGCUGGUGGCCAUGCCCCAGGCAUGGAACAAAAUGAGGUGUGUGAUCCAAUGAGCUUACCUGACGUCGAGAAGCUGAACGCUUCAUACAUGGCGGUUCAUGGUAGCGCGAUGCUAGGACGCCACCUGUGGCUGAAGACCUCACCAUUGUCUCAGUCGGCUUGA
Molecule: ribosomal RNA, 1380 nt
Filed under: Triticum aestivum (bread wheat)
Lineage: Eukaryota; Viridiplantae; Streptophyta; Magnoliopsida; Poales; Poaceae
Description: partial small subunit ribosomal RNA
Source: RNAcentral